This 195-nucleotide microRNA precursor is filed under the name Oryza glumipatula. RNAcentral's name for it is "MIR812 microRNA precursor family". It matches the Rfam family "MIR812 microRNA precursor family". The record is from Rfam by way of RNAcentral. Lineage: Eukaryota; Viridiplantae; Streptophyta; Magnoliopsida; Poales; Poaceae.
CUUUCGUCCCAUUUUAAAUGUAAUUGUAGAUUUUUUUUAUUCGUCUUAUUUGAUUUUUUUUGUUAUUAAUAUUUUUGUUGUUAUUAGAUAAUAAAAUAUAAAUAAUACUUUAUAUGUGACUUAUUUUUUAAAAAUGUUUUUUAAUUUUUUUAAAUAAAACGGACAAUUAAACGUUGGACACGAAAACUCACAACU